Ornithodoros turicata is the source of this 341-nucleotide long non-coding RNA. RefSeq lists it as uncharacterized. The record is from RefSeq and is a predicted model, not a curated record. The transcript is spliced from 3 exons. Lineage: Eukaryota; Metazoa; Arthropoda; Arachnida; Ixodida; Argasidae.
GCCGAUACUAAUCGAUCCUCGCGUGGUUACAUAAGAAGAAAUUCCUGAGGAGGAAAAAUGAAAAUCCCUCCCAGCUGACGCUGUGAGGAUUACGAACAUGGGAAAUUCCAUAGCCGGAAGGUCGUCUGCCAACCAUUCGACUCAGAGAGUACAUGUUGCCAGGACACCGACGGAGUGUCAACGUGCGUUCAUCACAUAGACAACACACUUGCAAACACUCAUGCUGUUUUCCGAGGAAAGCAUGUCAUCGAUUUUGGAGAAACUCAACAAACUGAAAAAGUCGGGAGAUGGAGAAAUUCAAAAGAUGAGUAUGUUAUCGAAGAAUCAAAAAUUUGAUGUUC